RNAcentral lists this ribosomal RNA (460 nucleotides) under uncultured bacterium. Its description in RNAcentral is "partial 16S ribosomal RNA". It matches the Rfam family "Bacterial small subunit ribosomal RNA", at positions 338 to 795 of the family's 1533-position model. The record is from RNAcentral.
CCUACGAGGGGCAGCAGUGAGGAAUAUUGGUCAAUGGGCGGAAGCCUGAACCAGCCAAGUCGCGUGAGGGAUUAAGGCCCUGCGGGUCGUAAACCUCUUUUGUCGGGGAGCAAGGCCCGCCACGUGUGGCGGGAAGGAGAGUACCCGAAGAAAAAGCAUCGGCUAACUCCGUGCCAGCAGCCGCGGUAAUACGGAGGAUGCGAGCGUUAUCCGGAUUUAUUGGGUUUAAAGGGUGCGUAGGAGGAAGGUUAAGUCAGCGGUCAAAUGUCGGUGCUCAACACCGGCCUGCCGUUGAAACUGGUCGUCUGGAGUGAGCGAGAAGUAUGCGGAAUGCGUGGUGUAGCGGUGAAAUGCAUAUAUAUCACGCAGAACUCCGAUUGCGAAGGCAGCAUACCGGCGCUCAACUGACGCUGAGGCACGAAAGCGUGGGGAUCGAACAGGAUUAGAUACCCGAGUAGUC